Phasianus colchicus (ring-necked pheasant) is the source of this 298-nucleotide long non-coding RNA. RefSeq lists it as uncharacterized. NCBI's taxonomy places the organism in Eukaryota, Metazoa, Chordata, Aves, Galliformes, Phasianidae. The record is from RefSeq and is a predicted model, not a curated record.
GUUCUUUCUCUUUACCAUGACGACUGCUCUGCUUACUGCGCUGAAGCUGCUGUCUCAGUUUGGCAAUCUGCUGGAAAGAAGUUCAGCUCAGAGGAUGGCAACUUUGCAAAACGGAUCACUGCGAUCAAAUGGCAGAGAUUGCCUACACACUGAAGGUUUCCCUACCACUGACAGUUAGAGCCCAUGCGAUGGAGAAAAGGUGCUUGCUGCAAAACUUGAUACAAAACCACUAGAUGAUGAAGAAUGGUCUCUCAGUAGAAGUGAGAGUGUUAUCCUAGAAACACAGAUGUUAUUCUUG